CGGGGUGCAGCAGGCGCGAAACCUCUGCAAUAGGCGAAAGCCUGACAGGGUUACUCUGAGUGAUUCCCGCUAAGGGGAUCUUUUGGCACCUCUAAAAAUGGUGCAGAAUAAGGGGUGGGCAAGCCUGGUGUCAGCCGCCGCGGUAAUACCAGCACCCCGAGUGGUCGGGACGAUUAUUGGGCCUAAAGCAUCCGUAGCCGGCCACGCAAGUCCUCCGUUAAAUCCACCCGCUCAACGGUUGGGCUGCGGAGGAUACUACGUGGCUAGGAGGCGGGAGAGGCAAGCGGUACUCAAUGGGUAGGGGUAAAAUCCUUUGAUCCAUUGAAGACCACCAGUGGCGAAGGCGGCUUGCCAGAACGCGCUCGACGGUGAGGGAUGAAAGCUGGGGGAGCAAACCGGAUUAGAUACCCGGGUAGUCCCAGCUGUAAACGAUGCAGACUCGGUGAUGGGAUGGCCUCGAGCCAUCCCAGUGCCGCAGGGAAGCCGUUAAGUCUGCCGCCUGGGGAGUACGGUCGCAAGACUGAAACUUAAAGGAAUUGG
Molecule: ribosomal RNA, 540 nt
Filed under: uncultured archaeon
Lineage: Archaea
Description: bacterial SSU rRNA
Rfam family: Archaeal small subunit ribosomal RNA
Source: RNAcentral